Molecule: ribosomal RNA, 491 nt
Filed under: uncultured bacterium
Lineage: Bacteria
Description: partial 16S ribosomal RNA
Rfam family: Bacterial small subunit ribosomal RNA
Source: RNAcentral
GUGAACGCUGGCGGUCGGCCUAACACAUGCAAGUCGAACGGCAGCACAGUAAGAGCUUGCUCUUACGGGUGGCGAGUGGCGGACGGGUGAGGAAUACAUCGGAAUCUACUUUUUCGUGGGGGAUAACGUAGGGAAACUUACGCUAAUACCGCAUACGACCUACGGGUGAAAGCAGGGGAUCUUCGGACCUUGCGCGAUUGAAUGAGCCGAUGUCGGAUUAGCUAGUUGGCGGGGUAAAGGCCCACCAAGGCGACGAUCCGUAGCUGGUCUGAGAGGAUGAUCAGCCACACUGGAACUGAGACACGGUCCAGACUCCUACGGGAGGCAGCAGUGGGGAAUAUUGGACAAUGGGCGCAAGCCUGAUCCAGCCAUACCGCGUGGGUGAAGAAGGCCUUCGGGUUGUAAAGCCCUUUUGUUGGGAAAGAAAAGCAGCAGGUUAAUACCCCGCUGUUCUGACGGUACCCAAAGAAUAAGCACCGGCUAACUUCGUG